This 390-nucleotide ribosomal RNA is filed under the name uncultured bacterium. Its description in RNAcentral is "bacterial SSU rRNA". It matches the Rfam family "Bacterial small subunit ribosomal RNA", at positions 28 to 419 of the family's 1533-position model. The record is from RNAcentral.
GAUGAACGCUGGCGGCGUGCUUAACACAUGCAAGUCGAACGGAAAGGCUCCUGCUUGCAGGGGUACUCGAGUGGCGAACGGGUGAGUAACACGUGGGUGAUCUGCCCCGCACUUCGGGAUAAGCCUGGGAAACUGGGUCUAAUACCGGAUAGGACCACUUCUUGGAGGUUGUGGUGGAAAGUUUUUUCGGUGUGGGAUGAGCUCGCGGCCUAUCAGCUUGUUGGUGGGGUAAUGGCCUACCAAGGCGUCGACGGGUAGCCGGCCUGAGAGGGUGUACGGCCACAUUGGGACUGAGAUACGGCCCAGACUCCUACGGGAGGCAGCAGUGGGGAAUAUUGCACAAUGGGCGCAAGCCUGAUGCAGCGACGCCGCGUGGGGAUGACGGCCUGG